GUAGCAUGUAUCAGUAAUCAUUCCUUUUUGUGGCUGAAUGAUCCAUCGUACGAAUAGAUCGUAUUUUGUUAUAGUGAUGGACUUUUGGGUUGUUUCCACUUUUAGAAUACUGUGACUUCAUGCUGCUGUGAACACUCAUGUACAAGUUUUUGUGUGGACACAUGUUUUCAUUUCUCUUGGGUAUUUACCCAGAAGUAGAGUUCCUGGGUAACUAACUUUCUGAGGAACUGCCAGAUAGUUUUCUUCUGCCGCAUAUGAGGGUUCCAAUUCUUCCGCUUCCUCAUCAACGCUUGUUACGAUGUGUCUUUUUUAUUACAGGCAUGUUGGUGGGUGUGAGAUGGGAUCCACGGCAUAGCAAGGGCUCUCUCUAGAGUAAUCUUUUCACCAGUCCUCUUUUCCACUAUCCACCCUCUUUAUAUUUCUUUGGCUUGGCUGAGGGUGCUCUGAGUUAUGCACCUCGUUCUUGAACAUUUCCCUGGUAAAUUCUGUGUAUAAGAUCUGACUUUGAAAUUUCACCUCUAUUGUAUGUCGAUGACUUUGAAACCUCCAUUUUAAUAUCUUGGUAGGUGCACAGUGCCAACAUAUGACAGGCACUUUAUAAUAAUCUCUUUUCUUCCCUCAGUUUUCCACCAGCCACUGAAAAGCACCGUUAGCCAGACAGAGGACAGCUCCCCAGGGCCCACACUCUCACCUGCCUUGCUUCCGUUCAGGAGAAGGGACAUCUGGAAAGGCUGUGUCAAGGCCUUGCCACAGGCAGGAUGGGUGUCUCUGGCCUAUCUAAUAACAGAUGUGCUUGUGGUGACAGAAUAAAAUAGAAUAGCAGUCAGGACUUUGUUCAGGCUCUGCCACUAACUCACCAUGGGACCUGAAAAAGCGACUUUCCCCCUCUGUGCUUCUGUUGUCAUAUUUACAAAACAUUCUGGGAGGGUUGGAUCUGAUGAGUAAUACAAUUUUAGCUCUAGAAUAGGAUCUAUUGUACUUAGAGUUCAAAAGAAAUGAAGAUAAACUUGCCCCUUGCUUCUGGGGAGUGGCUGGGCUUAUAAGAAAGGCUGGACACAAAUUUGGUGCAGGAGUGAGGUUUUGGGGACAGGGCUGCAGAUACAAGGACAGAGAAGGGGUAGGGAUGGAAUGACCAGAGCACAGCUUCCAGGGCUCCUGGGGCUUAGCCCUGUCCCUGUGGGGGCCAUUGUGUCACUCAGGGCCUCAGAGGGUGAGAAUGGGAAGGAAUAUUCCACACAUGGGUGGGAUGUAGGAGAAGGAAGGUGGCCUAGACUUGGGCCUGUUGGGGAUAGUGACCACACUCCUUCUUCUUUGUCUGUUUUCUGGGUCUCAGCUCUGCAAAGGAGGAGCAUGUGUGGGGAUCAGAAAAGCGGGGAGCAGGGCUGGGCCAGGCUGGGGCUGGGCCAGGCUGAGGCUGGAGAAGGGGCUGAACAAGGGCUGUGUUCCUUCCCUGACAACUUCCAGCCCCACCUGGGCUCCACCAGGCACAUGAAGGCUGCCCGCCCCACUGAGGAGCCGCUUUCCCAACCUGGAAGUGAUUUUCAAUGUUUCCUCACUGGGCAGUGCCAUUCAGCUACUGGUAGGUAAGGUGCAGGAACCAUGGGGCGUUCGUGUGUGGGUGCCUGUAUGUGUGUGCAUGUGUAUUCGUGUGUGUGCGUGUGUGUACAUUCAUGUGUGUGCCUGUGCGUGUGUGUACAUGUGCGCAUGUGUGUUCGUGUGUGUGCACAUUUAUGGACAUGUAUGUGUGUGUGCAUGUGUGUGCAUGUUCAAGUGUGUGUGUGUGUGUGUGUGUGUGUGUGUUUUGCUUCCACCCUUCCUCCCAGUCUUAUUCAUCCUAAGCCUCAUCCUAUUGCCCUCUGGGAGAUGUCCUGAUGGCCUCAGAAUGCCCCUCCUUUAUGUCCUCAGCACUCCCUGAAGCUUAAAUGACACAUUUCUGACUCAUCACACUCAAAGCUAUGCGGUGUCUGCUCAGCUGCUCAGGAGGGAUCUUGAGGCCCAAACUGUAUCCAGAUAGGUGAGAGGGGUCACAAACGGCCCGCAGGCUGGAGACUGAGAUGAAACUAACGUUUCUCGUAUCACUGCUGUGUGCUGGCUGUUGCGCAGGUUGCUUCUCAUCUUUCGUCUCAUUUAAUCCCUGCGGCAAUUUCAUAGAAAGAUAUAAUUCAUACCAUUUCUCCAGGAGGAGAAAUUGGGCUCAGAGAGAGCUGAGGAUUUUUCCCGAGGUCUUGCAGCAGGGCAGGGGCUGAGCUCAGAUGUGUCUCUAAAGCUUGGGUGUUUCUCCUAUGCCUCACUGGUCCAAAAGUCUAUCCCAGAUGAGCACAGAAGCCCAUAUCUCCAGUUGGGUUCUUCCAGAAGCUGACCCUGCCAUAUAUAUCAUUUAUAUUCACAUAUGAUAUAUUACUGGAAUGCCCCCUUGAGAAUCUGGCAAGACAGCGGGUAAAGCAGGAUAAGAAAGAGGAAGAAGCCAAGCAAGGGGAGAUUGCAGGUGAGGUCCCAACCUCAGCCUGACUCCACAGGGAUGGCUGGAAGGUAAAUCACACCUCGGGAUUGGUCCUGCUUCAAGCUACCGUUGCUGAUCUUUUUACUCUCCUACUGGUUCCUGCCUACAGGUUGCCUGGAAGUGAUUGGAGGGGAAGGAAUGCCAAUUCUCAGACAUUUCCAGCUCUCCUUACAGGCGAGGCAGCUGGCUCCAAUAGCCCAAGGGAAACUGCUGGAAAAGAGAGGAGCAUGCCCCUCCUGGAGCUUUCUUCCUUCCCGCUGGCCGGAAUGCAGUUGUGAUCAUUUGAGUUUCAGCAGCCACCUUGGGCCAUUUGGAGGAAGGCAUCUGCUGUGCAUGGCAGAGUCACGUGAAAGAAGGAAGCUGAUUCAUUAUCACCAGGUCACCGUGUCAGCCCUGGACUGCCUACUUCUGAACUUUUUACUUGAGGGAUUAAAGUAACCCUGGGUGUUUAA
Molecule: long non-coding RNA, 2952 nt
Organism: Homo sapiens (human)
Lineage: Eukaryota; Metazoa; Chordata; Mammalia; Primates; Hominidae
Exons: 2
Source: RefSeq, a predicted model, not a curated record